Molecule: long non-coding RNA, 427 nt
Filed under: Lathyrus oleraceus (garden pea)
Lineage: Eukaryota; Viridiplantae; Streptophyta; Magnoliopsida; Fabales; Fabaceae
Description: Pisum sativum (pea) long non-coding RNA (PSAT_LNC018008)
Source: RNAcentral
UUUUUGUAUGUUAUCCAUAUAAGGCUCAAAGCUCACCAGGGUUAAUGAUCUAUUGCUAAAGAUAUACAAUUUAGAGUUUAGUCAUACCUAUCAUACUAAAAAUGCACAGUAAAUUUUUCACAUCACACCACAAGACUUUAGUCAAGAGAACUAAGAAAAAUACUCAUAAUUGUAACUCAAAAACCAAAGAAAAAAAUAUGCAUUUUUUUUAAGAAAGCAAACCAAAACCAAAACAGAGAAAAAACAAAGAAAACAAAACAAAUAAAUGGUUCCCUCCCCCACACUUAAAACAUACAUUGUCCUCAAUGAAAGAGCAUAAAUAUAAAAUUAAAACAAAGAAAACAAAACAAAUAAAUGGUUCCCUCCCCCACACUUAAAACAUACAUUGUCCUCAAUGAAAGAGCAUAAAUAUAAAAUAAGAGUGAGA